This 119-nucleotide ribosomal RNA is filed under the name Piliocolobus tephrosceles (Ugandan red Colobus). The record is from RNAcentral. Lineage: Eukaryota; Metazoa; Chordata; Mammalia; Primates; Cercopithecidae.
GUCUACGGCCAUAGCACCCUGAACACGCCUGAUCUUGUCUGAUCUCACAAGCUAAGCAGGGAUUGGCCUGGUUAGUACUUAGGUGAGAGACUGCCUGGGAAUACUGGGUGCUGUAGGCU